This 857-nucleotide long non-coding RNA is filed under the name Jatropha curcas. RNAcentral describes it as "long non-coding RNA (JCUR_LNC001026)". The record is from RNAcentral. Lineage: Eukaryota; Viridiplantae; Streptophyta; Magnoliopsida; Malpighiales; Euphorbiaceae.
UUUUUUAUCUUUUUACUUUUAUUUUUUAUGGUUGUAUUGAGAAGAGUGUUUUUAAAUUUACGCAAUAAAUACAAUUAUUUUUAUAUUUAAUAACAACAAUCAGAUGAUAUAAAAAUUUAAUAUUUUACUAAAUUUAGAUUAAUUAAGAUAAUUACAAUAUUAUAUGACCUACUUAGGUAAAAAGUUCUUUAGUCAAAUUUAAAUAUAGUGUCACGACCCGUUUCCAUGGGCCGAACCGGCACUAGAGCCCAGGUAAGCUUAAGGCCCCCGAGGCCCGUAGUAAGCCUAAAUUAUCCAAUAUGUCUACCUAUCUUUUCCAAUUUCAUCAAAACAGUAAACCCAUAUACAAACAUCUAGCCCAAACUCAAAUAACACAUAAUGUAUAACCACGGCCUGUUCACAAUAAAUUAUAAUCACAUUAUGGGCUUACUGGUUCACCUGCAGCUAAUUACAUAAUAUUUAAUUUAUAGUGUAGUGCUAACAAUAAGUCCAAUAUUAAUACACAACCCUAUAAAUGCGGAGUCCAAAAAUAAUCUGAUAACAGAAUAAUUUAUACAUCCAAAAUUAAAUAACAUGAAUAUAAAGUUUACAUUUGUAACUCUGCGGAGAAGAUUGCAGAGCUUUAGUCGAAUCAGCUGCUUCCUAGUACCUGGGAGGUUUGUUGGGGGGGUGAGUUUUGCAACUCAGUGAAUAAUAAUAAAUAAUACACACCACAUACAGUCAAGCAAAAUGCACCCUAGUAUACUGAAUGAACACACAACAGUCAAUCAUAUGACAUUACAUCAGCACCCACAAACAAUAUCACCUUCAAAUAAUCACAUCACGUGGAAAUUAGUCAGUGGAGUCACCGAANNNNN